This 253-nucleotide ribosomal RNA is filed under the name uncultured bacterium. RNAcentral's name for it is "partial 16S ribosomal RNA". It matches the Rfam family "Bacterial small subunit ribosomal RNA", at positions 524 to 776 of the family's 1533-position model. The record is from RNAcentral.
UACGUAGGGUGCGAGCGUUGCCCGGAUUUAUUGGGCGUAAAGAGCGUGUAGGCGGCCAGUUAGGUCCGUUGUGAAAACUCGAGGCUCAACCUCGAGACGCCGAUGGAAACCAACUGGCUAGAGUCCGGAAGAGGAGAGUGGAAUUCCUGGUGUAGCGGUGGAAUGCGCAGAUAUCAGGAGGAACACCAAUAGCGAAGGCAGCUCGCUGGGACGUUACUGACACUGAGGCGCGAAAGCGUGGGGAGCGAACAGG